GGCCUGAGUUUCAGAAUUUCAAAUAAGUUCCCAGGUGAUGUGAAUGCCCUGAGGGGACCACACUUUGGUUAGCAAGGGUUAAGAUUAGAAUUCGGAAGUUCCCACAUUUGCUUUGCAUCUGACUCAGCAGAUGUUCCGGAGUGAAUGUUUGUGUCCCCCCAAACUUUGUACGUUUAAAUCCUAACUCCCGGUGUGAUGCUGUUAGAAGGUGGGCCUUCCAGAGGUGCUUGUCAUGAAGGUGGAGCUCUCGUGAAUGGGCUUAGUGCCCUUAGACAAGAGAUUUCAGAAACGUCCCUCACGCCUUCCGCCAUGUGAGGACACAGCAAGAAGACAGCGGCCUAUGAACCAGUGUUUCCUUUGUUUCUCAAAUAAACCACUUACACUUGAAAUGUUGUCUUCAGAUCAACUUCUGAAGGAAUUCAAACUAAGACAUGUGACAUGCACAAUUCAACUAUGAGCUAAAAAAUAUAUGUGUGCAAAUGUAGUUGAUAGAAAAUGCAGUACUUCAAAAGGAUCUUGAUUUUUCCUG
This 529-nucleotide long non-coding RNA is filed under the name Equus asinus (donkey). Its description in RNAcentral is "lncRNA (ENSEASG00005035759.1)". The record is from RNAcentral. Lineage: Eukaryota; Metazoa; Chordata; Mammalia; Perissodactyla; Equidae.